GACGAACGCUGGCGGCGUGCCUAACACAUGCAAGUCGAACGGAAAGGCCGUGCAGUUGUGGGGUGCUGGGGUGGCGAACGGGUGAGUAACACGUGUGUAACCUGACCUUGACUUUGGGAUAACUUCAGGGAACUGGGGCUAAUACCGCAUAGGAGAUCCUGCUGCAUGGUGGGGGUUGGAGAGUUUCGGCGGUUGGGGAUGGUCUCGCGGCUUAUCAGCUUGUUGGUGGGGUAGUGGAUUACCAAGGCUCUGACGGGUAGCCGGCCUGGGAGGGUGACCGGCCCCAUUAGGCCUGGGCUGCGACACGGACUCCAAUGGGAGGCAGGGGUGGAGAAUAGUACCCAAUGCGAGGAGGCCUAGUGCAACAACGCCGCGUGGGGGAUGUCGGCCUGCGGGUUGUAAAGCGCAUUCGCCUGUCACGAAACGUGAGUGACGGUAAUGGGUAAAGAAGCCCCGGCUAACUACGUG
This 468-nucleotide ribosomal RNA is filed under the name uncultured bacterium. RNAcentral describes it as "partial 16S ribosomal RNA". It matches the Rfam family "Bacterial small subunit ribosomal RNA", at positions 28 to 507 of the family's 1533-position model. The record is from RNAcentral.